RNAcentral lists this transfer RNA (71 nucleotides) under Loxodonta africana (African savanna elephant). It matches the Rfam family "tRNA". From Rfam's summary of the family: Transfer RNA (tRNA) molecules are approximately 80 nucleotides in length. Their secondary structure includes four short double-helical elements and three loops (D, anti-codon, and T loops). Further hydrogen bonds mediate the characteristic L-shaped molecular structure. tRNAs have two regions of fundamental functional importance: the anti-codon, which is responsible for specific mRNA codon recognition, and the 3' end, to which the tRNAs corresponding amino acid is attached (by aminoacyl-tRNA synthetases). tRNAs cope with the degeneracy of the genetic code in two manners: having more than one tRNA (with a specific anti-codon) for a particular amino acid; and 'wobble' base-pairing, i.e. permitting non-standard base-pairing at the 3rd anti-codon position. The record is from Rfam by way of RNAcentral. Lineage: Eukaryota; Metazoa; Chordata; Mammalia; Proboscidea; Elephantidae.
GCAUUGGUGGUUCAGUGGUAGAAUUCUAGCCUUCUGUGCAGAAGACCCAGGUUCAGUUCCCCGCCAGUGCA